This 32534-nucleotide long non-coding RNA is filed under the name Daucus carota (carrot). Its description in RNAcentral is "long non-coding RNA (DCAR_LNC002195)". The record is from RNAcentral. Lineage: Eukaryota; Viridiplantae; Streptophyta; Magnoliopsida; Apiales; Apiaceae.
GCGAUAUGUUUACGUUAUAUAGCUCAUAUUACAUUACUUCUAAUCUUUUGUGAAAGGAUAUCUGGUAAUUCUAUAUUUGAGAAGUUGAUUAGACUAAAGCUAUAUCGUCAAUUAAUAUAGUCUGCCACCUACAUGUCAGUCAAAUUAUGUAAUUGUUGGUAUGCCCAAGGCAAUGUGUUCUCUUAAUUAAUAUUACUAAUAUAAUGUUAGAGAAGAAGUCAAUUUAACUACAUUUUUCUUAAUAUUACUAAGAAAAUGUAUGGGACUAACCUGUUGUGAGCUAUAAUAUAUAACUUUACAUUGUGUCAUGAGAAAUUUUCGUGAGAAUGGCGUAAUGACUCUCUGACAUUAAAAUCAUUAUCUCUCUAGAAGAUAUGGAUGUUGUUAUUUGAUUUUAUCAAUUUAACUUUAAUCGAGUUGAUGACAAAGUUGGUUGAGGGAAAUUUUAUAAUUUGGAAAAGGAGAAGUAAGGUUGCCGAAGAAGGAGAAGCAAGCUGGGAAAGAGGAAGAUCGGGAUUGGGCAGCGGCGGGGGUUGGGGGCGAUGGUAGGGUGGGUGCGAGGGCGGGCGGGCUGGUACGUGGUGUACACGAAACGUGAAAGUACACGACACAACACGAUUGACAGGUCUAAUUUAUACUCCCUUGGUGGCACUAAUCUUGUUCAUCAAUCAAAUUCCAUGUUUUAUUCAAUCAUCUUAAAUACACUAAUAGUUACCAAAGAUUAUAUUGUUUGUAAUUAACUUGACAUAAUUAGCCCUCAACCUUCUUGUAUAAACCGAAUUUGGGGAACAAUUUUCGGACAUACAAAAUUGGAAUUGUGGCCAAUAUAAAUGGGAGGCAAUAAAAUAUCCUAACGAGUCAUUUUUUGUUAUAAUUAAAACACAUUAAUACAUUCUCAUUAGAACGAACAUGUCUAGGUUAUUCAGUUAUUAGUCUUUUGAUAGGCUUAACUUUCAGGAACUUAUUUAACACGUUUAAUAAAAAUACUUAUUUAACCUACCCGAUAAAAUACUUAUUUAAUCUUAACGAACAUUUAUUAAUUAUUUAAAAGUCUAUUUUAAGUAAAAACACAUACUUUCUGACAUAAAUGUAUCUUCAAAAUAAAAUUGGAUAUUAAAACAUAUUAUAUCCUUAAAUAUGUAAUAAGCGUGAGGAGGAUAAUUUGGUUGUUUAGUGAGUACCAUGAGAAGGAUAAUUUGGUUGUUUAAUGAGGAGGAUGGACCUAGAUGGGUUGGGUUGAGAGUUUGGCCUAGUAGGGGUGGAACUGGGGAGGGCCUAGUUUUGGCUCUUUAAGAUUGUCUGGAGCCUGUCCAGGACUUGUAAGGAGCCUUGGAGAGGCCCUAGAGGGCCCGGGGUGGAUUGAGUGGGGGUGAGGGUCGGCCCUAGGUGGGUGAUGACAUAUAGGGGGUGGGUGAUGACAUAUAAGGGGUGGGUGAGUUCAUUUAGGUAUAGUUUCUCUUGAUUUCCAUUUUAGUUUUUAUUUUAGUGGUUUCUAUUUGAGCAAUUGCCUAUAUAUAUAUAUAUAAUAUAAAUAAUUCAACACUUAAAAUAUGAACAAAAAAGUUAAUUUCCAAAACAAGUUCUAAAAUAAAAUACUUUCUGGAUGAUUAUUAUUCUGCUGUAGAAUCAUGCUGGAAUAUUGCAUAAUUUUCAACGAGUUCUAGAAUAAAAAAAUUAAAUAAUUUUGUUUUCAAUCUACUAAUUAAGAUUUGUAAUUAUAUUUCACAAAAAUAUAACAAAUAUAUGCAUAUAUAUGUAUGUAUACAUACACACACAAUUGCUCAAAUACAAACCAUUAAAAAAUAAAGGGAAAUUCUCUAUGGUACAUUUGUGUAAUUGGCUUUUCCCGUUGGUACAACUACAUUUUUGACUUCUACGCAUGAUACCCUCAUGGUAUAAAAACUUUCUCAACGAUACCCUUCCAUUAGGCUAAACAUUAGUCGGUCGUUAAUUUUGACGGAAUUCCAAUUAUCAGAUAAUUUUUAUAAUGCAAUAAAUUGAUACCCACUCCACCGGAAAAUCCCGCCUCAAAACAGUCAAUCUCUUUCUCUAAGCUUCCUUUCUACUUAUACUGGGCAACAACCAUUAUUGUGAUUUCGAUCAGCCAUCUCAUAACGGCGGUGUUGUGGUUAAGCCGUCGGCCGCCCUUUCUCUCUCAACUCGUCGUACCAUCUUCCAUCGCUAUUCCCUCUUUCACGAAUCCCCCAAUACCACCUGUAACCCAACCCCUACUUCCCUCCUGUAAUACUAACGCUGUCGCCUCCGAUCUCCAGUUUCGGCGACACGACCCAUCACACGUUAUACUCUCACUCCCUCUUCUCUUGUGGCUUCGAUCCCGACCAGACAACGCUACAUCGCCGCCAAUCAUCGUUGUGACUCCAUCAGAACACACACGCACCACACAAACACAACCCCAACACACACAUACAAACAUCAAUUUGAGGAAUCAAUUAAACAAAAUUCAAACAAUCAAUUAAGAAACCGCAAGAGUACCAUUUCGUUAAAAGAACAAGCUUGCAUAAGGAUACAUAAAUGUAUAAUUUAAUAUAAUUUAAAUAUUCAUUAAAUAUUUAGUUUUAUACUUGUAAUCAGCCUGUUUACUUAAACUUAACGUUUUGUUAACGUUUUAUUAACAGAAGUGUAUAGGUGGGAGUGAAACAUUAUUNAAUCAGCCUGUUUACUUAAACUUAACGUUUUGUUAACGUUUUAUUAACAGAAGUGUAUAGGUGGGAGUGAAACAUUAUUAUGAAGGUAUCAUGCGUAGAAGUCAGAAAUGUAGUUGUACCAACGGGAAAAGCCAAUUACACGAGUGUACCAUAGAGAAUUUCCCAAAAAUAAACUAAGAGAAACCACCCCUAAACACACCCACCCACUAUAUGUUAUCACCAACCUAGGACUUGCCCCACUCACUCUAUCCGGGCUCACUAGAGCCUUGCCAAGACUCCGGACAGGCUCUACACAGCCCUAAGAGCCAAAACUAGGCCCUCCCCAGUUCCACCCCUACUAGGCCAAACUCUCAACCCAACCCAUCUAGGCCCAUCCUCCUCAUUUUAUAUGUAUUCUAUAAUAGAAUAUAUAAUAAAAUUAAUGAUUUAUAAUGACAUAUAUAAUAAGAUUGGGGUUUCGGAGCCUCCAUCUUGCCAUUGUAUGCACUAUACUAGUUGCUUACAAAAGUGAGGCGAAGGAAAGAGAGAAAGCAACGACCAAGCAUUUGGGAUUCAUAGGAACUUUUUUUUAUGUUCUUCAUCGCCGAUCGUCACUUGUAUCAGCCGGUAAGACUCUGAGCAUUUAAUCAAUUGUUUUCAGAUAGAUCUUCGGUUAGGGUUUCAAAAUUUCGGGUUUAACAUAUGUUUCCUCUUUAUGUGACCGAAAGCCAACACUAAUUUCCGAGAUUUAGGGUAUUACAGAGCCAUCAAAUCUUUGCUUUCAUGAUAAUCUUAUAUAAAUUGUUUUUUAUAUUUUAAUUCCCUGAUUGGUUUGUUUCCCCUUUUGGUUGAGAAUCACUCACUUCCUUGUCUAUAGUAAUAAAUGUUUUUCUUGUUUAAAGAGCUUCCCUAUCUUGUUAAUUAGCAUUUAAUAUAUAGUUGUUAAUCAACAUAUAAUAUAUAGUUCAAGAUCCCUGCCCCUUUAUAGCAGAGGUGGAGUUUCACGAGAAUUUGACGCUCAAUUUUUAUCUUUGUAAUAGUUGGAUAAGUGACCAGAGAAAGAUCACCAAAGUGAGACCGGAGAGAGAGAGAGAAAAAGACGAACAAGCGUUCUUGAGCUGGAUACGUUGGGAUUCGAGCUUUUUUCUGUUUCUGCGUCACUUUUCUUCACUUCAUUAGCUGGUAAGACUCCGAGCAUUUAAUUAAUAGUAUUUACAUAAAUCUUUGGUUAAGGUUUCAGAAAUUUGGUUUUAACAUAUGUUUUUUUAUAUGUGAUCAAAAGCCAACACUAAUUGGGGAGCUUUAGGCAUUCUAGAGCCAUCAAAUUAAAUCUUUUCAUGAUUAUCCUUUAUAAUUUGUUUUUUUUAUAUUUUUAUUCGUUGGUUUCUUUCUCCCCUUGGUUGAGAAUCACUAAGUUCCGUAUUUUUAUUAAUAAAUUAGUUUUUGUCUUUAAGAGAUUUCAUAUCUACUUAAUCAACAUCUAGUAUGUGGUUCAACAUCCCUCCCGCUUGUAGCAAAAAUGGAGUUUGAUGUGAAUUUUAAAUUCUAGUUUUUUUGUCUUUUUAAUAGUUGUAUGAUCGUUCAUAUUCUCAAUCAUGUAAACAUGUAAUUGUUCAUGUUUUUUUUUAAUAUUUGUGCAUAAAGUACAUUUCAUUAUUCUUCUCUUGGUUAAACAUCAUAGGGCCGCAAUUGGGAGAAACCCACAACCCAUAUAAAAGAGACAAACCUAGCUAACUGAGCUACUCCGUGGAAACAUCUUUGAGUGCAUCUUUUGACAAAUGUAUUCGCAUGUCCGUGAUUUAUCUGAGUAGGAACUUGUCUAUGUGAGUUGGACCAGGUCACUUAAUUUAUUUUUCUUUUUUCGAAUUCUAGUAGUUAAUAAGUAUUUAAUCAAUAAUUAAAAAGUACUAGGUAGUAUUUGCUUGGUACUCUUAAAAUCCAACAAAUUUUAAAGAAUUGUGCGAUAUGAUAGAUUGUUGAGGAAUUUAAUUGGUUUUUGUGUAUAUAACAUAUCCAUGUUGAAAUCCUGAAAUCCCACUAGGGCUUCCAUGGAUUUAGGUAAUGGUUUUAACAUUUUUAUGUAUGUACAUAUUUAUAUCAUGUUACUUAUUUACAUUGUUACAUUAUUUUUGUAUAUAGUAUAUAUUUAUUUAUUUUGUGCCCGGGAUAGCUUGAGCAUGCUUCUUGACUGAUCUCAAAGGAUGACUAGCAUAGCGUUUGGGUAACUCCAUCCAAAUUUAUGCACCUACCAGUACCUACACAAUCUCACGUUCGCAUUUAUCACUUUAGCCCAAGGUGGGUUAUAUAUAUCACUUGUGUCAUAUAUGUUAUCUUUUCAUGCUCAACAUGUGCAAUUAUACAUCUUUUUUAACUUCAUAUUUUUUUAGAAUUUUAUAUCUUUUUCUUGUCGAGUAAAAUUUCAUAUCUUUAUUUAUGUAUACAUAUAUAAACAUAUUGUGGUGUAGUAAUAUAAUAUGAAGAAUAACAUUACAAAAUCAUAUUAAAAUCGUUACUUAUCUUCAUGUGGUUGAUUUUAAGUAGUGAAAAUAGUUUGGUUUUUAUUUUUAUUGUGAUAUCUUGUUCUAAACAUAUAUAUGGGUCACGAAUUUUAAUUAGAAUAAUUAAAUGUGUUUUAAUUGGAUAUUUAAAAAUAGUCAGGCCCGUUGACGUUUUUGAAUUUAACACCUCUUCAUGUGUUUUAAUCGGAUAUUUAAAAAUAGUCAGGCCCGUUAAAGUUUUUGAAUUUAAUAAGCUUGGACCGGCCCAAAUACCGAUCGACUGUCCUACCAUGACUUUUGAUGUUUCUAUUUUAAUAGUAUUGUAUUGUGUUGAUAUUACUUUUAUUGUAUAAUAUAUCAUUUGGUUUUGCAUAAUGAUAAAAGGUAUCAUAUCAAAUCUAAUUUUAAAAUUAAUACAUGGAAGCCUAUUAGUUAUAUUUGAUUAGGGUCUGAAAUUCAUUUGAGACGCCCUGAUACCAAGUUAGGGCUGAGCUUGGUUUGGCCCGUUUUGAAGGGCCGAACCAAAACAAAGUUUUCCGUUUCUAUUGUAACAGCUUAAGGGCCAAAUCUUGUUUAAGUUAAAUGGUCAUAGAAAUUAGAUAUACAAAUAUUAUAUAACUUAAGUAAUAAGUAAUUCCCUCUUCUAAAGCUCUUAGAUUUUUUUAUUUUUGAUAAUUAGAUAGUAGUUGCAGAAGUUGCCAAACCAUCUGUGACCUGUGCAUGUCUCUAGCAGCGCACGUAAUCUUCAACACAAGUAAUCAAAGCAGCCACUGUUUGUGUUUGGAUAUCAGAUGUCUUUAUUGUGGUGGUGAAUCACGAUAGAUGUUUACCAUCUGGUAAAGCGAUGUAAGAGCAAAGUUUUGAAACAACUGAACCAUCCUUCUACUAAAAAGAUCACUUAUCUUUAAGACUUUAACUAGCCCUCCUAAAGCCCAGAUAGAUCUUUGUUGAUUAUUUUGAUUAUUGUUUAGCAGUUGCAGAGCAUUGGGUGCCCCACUUAUAUAUGCACUAUGCACACAUAAUCUUAAUAUAGAUAUUCAUUAGUUAAUAGUAUCUGAAUAUGUGAUGUUCGUUGUGGUAAUGGAUUACAUUAGAUGUUUUGCAUAGGGUAAAUGGUGUAAGAGAAAUGUUGCAAAGCAACUAAACGAACGUGUAUUCGAAUUUUGAAUUGGCUUUAAACCAUAUUUCACCCUAUAUGUGGUUUAUUGAGAAGGUAACUUUUUGUUCCUUACUGAAUAAUAUGGUCCAAGUGAAGUGGGAUAUGGGUAAAACAUUAGGUGAAGAGAUGUAACAUACAGUAUUGAAUAAUUAAUUUAAGUAUUAGGCCUUAGGUGACCAGAUAAAUCUUUUUAGAGGAAAGGGAUUGCUACUGGAUUGCAGCAAGUUCACAGUUACUUGAUUUUAACAGAUUAUUUUUCCAUCAUCACCAGAAAUUAUGAAUCAAAAUGAAGCUCUCGCUGCUGAGGACAACAUCGAAGCAGUUUUGGAGAAUGUGAGGAAUAUGACCUCACAGGAGGCUGAUGCAGCUGUGCACAAAGCACUUGAAAAGUGCUGUGUGGCAGUGCGGGCGGCAGAGAACGCAAGUAACAUGGCAAAAAUGGCUGUAAGUCAUUACCAAGCCUUGAUGGAGUCUCUCAGAAACAAUACAAUGACUGGUAAAAUGUCAUUUAAUUAUACUUCUUAUGCUAAUUUAUCAUGUUUUCUCUUGGUCCUGAAAAUGGCUUGACAAAUGUUACAUGACUGCAGUUUAUUAACUUUAUGGAACCAAUAACAGAAUAAACCUUGUUAAGGAAGAGACCUCAAACUGGAUGUUAUGUAGUGUAUCACUUUCUUGAUGUUUAUGUAGGUUUCCAAGUUUUUGAACAGAAAAUUAAAAUGCAAUAAAUAUGAAUUCUUAAUUGUUUAAAUAUUUGUAUAUAAGGUAAUCAUUUUUGAUUUUAUACGUGUGCAAAAUGUUAACUUUUGAUAAAUAAAUAUCAAGUUAAAGAUGCAGAUUGCUAGAAAGAACCUUUUCACGAAAGGCAACUCUAGUACAGAGUCAGACAUGGCCUUUUUUCUGGGAUAUAGUUAAUUUUUGUUUAGAGCAUAGUUGCUAGCAGGGUCCUGGAAUGAGAACAACCCUUUAGCCACGAGAUAAUAUUAUUAUUGAAAUAUUUCUACCGCGGUAUAUGAAUGAUUUUCCUUUAUUAUCUUGUUGAAAGUUGCUUCCUGCACUUGUUCUAGCUUUGAACAUUAUAAGCUUCCUCAUUUUACAUGAAAAAUUGAAGCAGAGUCAGAGAACAUGUACAGUCAUCAAACUUUGUUGGAAGCUGCUGACGAAGCAACUGCAAAGUGUGAUGCUGCAGCGCAGGUGCUACAAGCUUCAUUACCUGUGGCAGUCGAUGCAAAAAGGCUUGUUGAAGCCAUAGAUAAGGCUCGUGGAAAACGUCCGAUGACUGGUAAAUCAUCAUUCCAUUGUUAUACUUAGGCUUGUUUCCUCAUUUUUCUGUUACCUAUGAAAGUUAUUGGCAAUAAAAAGUUAUCUUUUAAAAGGUUUUUUAUAUGAUUUUGAAAAUAAUACUAUAGAAAUUUCAUUGCUUAAUAUUCAAAUACUAAGUUAAAAUAUCCACAACUUCUUUACAAAUCAACUUUGUUGAUAUAUUCUAUUUAAAUAGUACCUCUUAUUUAUGUGGAUAAAAGUGCAAAUACACAGUCUGCUAUGAAGAACCUGUUUUAAUUAGGCAACCUUAGUGGUUACUGAAAGCUUAGCAAUUUCACUGUGUUGUGCUUUGGAAAAUUGCUCCCUCCACUCGCCCUUACUUUCUCCUCAAUAACCUCCCUCAUUUUACAUGAUAAAUUGCAAAUUUUAUGUACGUUACAUCAAGUUUCGGCCGAUUAUAAGCUGACAUGCAGCAAGAUAAAAGAGCUUGUCCCUUACUGGAUAAGGUAGGACGCACAAAAGAUGUCUCGAGUAUGCAACCGAUACAGUUGACAUCAAUGCAUUGGUAAAGUCAAACUACAAUGUGUAUAUAUCCCGUGUCAUGAUGCCAUGUGUCAAUUGGAACAUCUUCUGUGAGUCCCCUAUCACGAGAUUCUAUGUGUAGCAUACAAGUUUUAUAUAUCUUAGCAGAGGAAUUUCCCCUGAUGUACCAUUGGAAACUUUAACAAAAUCCAUAUGUAAAGGUAAUCUUACUGCCCAACGAUGCCAACCUCAAAUGAUAACUCGAUUUGUAUAGAGGCUAGUUAACUAUUAGAAGCCCUAUCAUUUUCUUCAGAUCUCUAAUUUGAAGUACAUUAGUUAUAAUGCUCUAGCUCAACAUUUUAUUCUUAUGUAGUAUCUCUCCUAAAACUUGCAUAUCUAGCUUGCAUAUUCUAAAAUCAUAAUUUUUUUUGGACCGUGGCUGCAGACUUGCUGUCAUAUACUCCCUCCGUGCCUCUAAGUAGUUUAUGUUCACUAUUUGCACGUAUUUUGAGGCUCCUAUAAAGUAUAGCACCAUAACAUUUUUUUUAAAUUUUCUUUUUUUGAAUAAAAGUUUAAACAUCAAACUUUUAUUCAGGGAAAAAUAAUUAAAAAAUAUAUUAUGGAAUUAUAUUUUAAAUGAGUCUUAAAAAACAUGCUAAAAAGUAAUGUAAAGAAUUGAGAGAGGCAGAGGGAGUAUAUAUAUAUAUAUAUAUAGAUGCCCUAGAAGUUCCUGAAAAUCUAGUUUAAUGCAAGCAUUUCUUGCAUGAAAACUAAUUAAAUUUUGUACUUGUCGUUAAUUCUUAUUGCCAUUCUCACUAAUUGGAUUCUAAACCAUGCAGACUGUGAGAGCGGAGGUGCUUCAUCAUCAUAUGGAGGUGCUUCAUCAUCAUAUUGACGGCAUGGACUUUACAAAGCAUCUGCUUUUGUUCUCAUCAUCAUAAGCGUGCCUGUGGCUGUGCCAUGUUCUUAAGAUAUAUGAAUCAGUGACCUGACAUUUGAAGAAUAUAUUUCAGUUUUCUGACCUUUGAGCGUGAAAGAACUGUUAUGCACAUUUUGUCUGGAUGAAUGGGUCAGGUCUAUGUUUAUUUGCGUGUUCAACAUGCAAUUCCUCAGUGUGAGUUUUAGUAAAUUUUUUUAAAAUUAAUGUUUGCUUCUCCUAUAUUUGAGCUGCAUGCUAGUCUGUUCGACAUUAUUUCUUCUCGUCUUGCAAGUCCUGAAAAUAGCAAAAAUAAGUUCAAACAAAUUUCUAAUUUAUUUGUUUAGUAACAACGGACAUGACCAUAACUAGUCACGAACAUAAUAGUAUCAUCUAGGCGAACUAUGCCCUCAUAUAUGCUAUUAUUUAGGUAGAGAACACCGUAGAUGAACAUUGUCAGCUUUUCAUCUCAAAUGGAAAUGUGAUCUUAUUCUGUCAUAUUGGGUCUGACCUCAAAUAAUUUAUAAUAAGUGAUAAUCUUGUACACUUUCAUAAUGUCAAAAGCAUGACACGCAAUUUUUGCUCUGAGAAGAGUAGCGGCCAAAUAUUCAAUUAUUCAUGUUCAUAUCAAGUCAUAUUGAGGAUAACAUGAUUUAUCGUUAAUAUCAUCAUAUGGAGGAUAACUUAUCGGUUUCGGAUAUAUAGAUGAGAUCAGAGUGACACUCCAAAACCCUUAUCAAUAUAUUGAAUCGGUGUUAACCUACUAAUAAAACUUCAUCUUAUUUAUUUAAUAAUAUAAAAUACUAAUGAUAUAUUAUUAUCCUCAAAUUUUAACUAAUAUUAUUAGAACAUUUGGUGUUGGUUAAGAGAUUUUGUAAAUUUAUUUUCGUCCAUAAGAGAUUGUGAUCCACUAACACUCAUUAUAAUGAUUGACUAUAUUUUAAAAUUAGUAUAUUAUUAUUAUUAAUAUUUAAGUUGAGUUUAAUAAAAUAUAUUAUUUAAAUACAAUCGGGGAUAAUAUGACAUUUCACAACAGAUAUGGCUAUACCAUUUUAUUAUAUUUCAUAUUAACUUCUAUUUAUAAAUAAGCGAUAAUGAAAAUUUGAUACUGACAAAUUAUGACUUCCAUUACUAUCCUACUGAAGAAUGUUAAGAAAAUCUUUAUUGCUAAAUUAAUGAACGAAGAGUAUUUUCAAUCCCAUGAAAUUAUGUCUUUUCUGUAUAAAGGCUCCCUGAAAUUCUGAUAUGAGAUGGUCCAUGUGGAUUUCAAGUCUUUUGGCCAGGACUUUGGUUAGAAACUUCAUCUAAGCAUUCAUUAGACUUAUUGGUCUAAAAUGAGCCUGUGUCUUCGGAUACUAACAUUUUGAAAUAAGACCUGUAAAAGACGAGUUUGUACCAUAUGACAAGUACCCCGAGUCAUGGAAGGCUUUGAAAAAAGAUAAGCAGACCACUUUUGCUGAAUUCCAUAGACAUUUGAGUACACUAACAUUCAUGCUGUUAGGUCUCGGCACCUUGUUGCCAUCCAUAUUGUCCAAUGCUUCUUUUAUCUCUUUUAGCAUAAUUUCAUCUACUAUGGAUUUGUUAUUAGAUUCAUCUAAUGUGUUGUGUUGAGAAGAUCCUUUCCAACAUGAAAUAUUUUCCUCCUCUUGCUAUCUGUUAAGAGACCUUUAAGAUGAACUAGAAGAGUUUCCUCUCUAGGUCAUGUACCCAUCUACCUUGAAUCUGUAGGCCUAGUGUUGCAUUGAAAUUUCUCCUUUUUGCUAUUGCCAUGUGGAAGUAUCAAGUGUUGCGCUCUCCUUUCAAAGACCACGAGUUUCUUGAUGCUUGACAAAGCAUAAUUGAACGUAUUUUAUACAUUUGAUCCAACCGCUCCUUAAUCUCAUGAUUAACAUCCAAAGGUUGGUUUGUUUCAUCCACCCAAUCUUGCUCCCUUUUAAGGUCCAUGAUCUUGGGGACAAUAUUACCAUGUAUCUCCAAGUUUCAUGUUUUUCUGCGUUCUUUUAUGAACUCACAUAUGAAGGCUCCCUUACCAAACUAACCAGUUUGAACGUGUUAUUUUCAAAAACAACCAGUUCCGUUUCGACUUUUCAAAACUUACCAGUCUAAUUAAUUGGAACUCGGGCGACCCCUAUUACGUUUUGGCCACCACAUGGGUCGCCCCAGCCAUGGGCGACCCCUGUUACUUCUUUUUGCUUCAUAGGUCGCCCUAUACACGGGCGACCCCUGCUGAUUUUGUUUUCUUAUUUUUUAUUUUUAUUUUUUUUUGUCAUAAGAUUUUCACGUCAUUGAAUUGUAUGGAAAUACAAUACUGAAGGAAUCGGAGAGCUUUUUCAUACAUGAAAAACUUUCAUCUAACCAAUAGACAUGUCGAAAAGCGCCACAAAAUUAGAUAAAAAUUUUGAUGUCUGAAAAAAAAACACUCUAAGGAGAAGCAAAAUCCGCACAACUAAGAAGAAAGGAAAACUUUCAUUCAAAAAAGUCUACCGACUAACCAAAUGUCAUGCAGAGAUGGCCCCGAAAAUUUAGCCAAUAAAACUUUAAUGACUGAAAAGAAAACCCGGAUGAAAAACAAAAGUCCGCGGAAAGGAAGAAACUAAAUAGGGAGAGAAAAAAAGGAGGAAAGAAAGAAAGAAUCAAGCACGAAAGGCUAUGCUAGGCACCGAAACAAAAUCAUCAAAAAUAACACAAUCGUUAAAAAACGACAAACAAAAUCAAAAUACACAAUCAAAAAGCCAUCAACUAUGGCACUCCCUCGAAAGGGCACAAUAAUAAAAUCAAAGAAACAACAAGUCUUAUAAAUCUAGUUAUAAAACGAAUCAUAAAAAUCAAAAACUAUAUAUAUAACCAAUUACAAAGGACAUAUAAGACCAAUAUAUUUAAAACCACUAAAACAAAAAAUUUCGAACUCAUACCAUUGUCGUGGGGUCAAUUCACACAAUCCUUACCUUAUCGAAUAUAAAUAUAUGUAAUCAUUGCUAUGACUAAGAUUGAAUCGCAAUCGUUUUACCCGUCAUUGACUCAUCUCAAUUGAUUUAACACCAAAACAAAAUCUUGAAAAUUGAGUAGAUCUAAAAUCUUGAAACGGAUCCGGGAGGGAGUAUUAUUGAGAAAGCGAGAACAAAUCACGAGAAAUAAACUAAUUCGGAACUUUUCAUCGGUGAAAAUCGAUGAAAUCUCCGACGACGGCUGGAAAAAGAAGGGAGAGAGGAGGCUAGGGUUUUUGCAAGAAGGGAGAGAUCACAUCUUUCUUGCAAAGUCGUAGUGUAAGAAGGGUUUUCUUAUUUUAUUUAAAUGAAUAUUAACUAAUAUGGCUUUUUUUUUAUAAAUUCAAUUGUUUUGUUUAUGUUAAUUAUUAAGAUUAACUAAAAACAAAGAUUAAUUAAUAUAAAUAGAUAUUACUUAGCAUUCCGAGUUGCAAAAUUUAAUAACUGAAAAUCAAAUUAAAUUUGAUUAAAAUGAGAACAUGACAUAAGUUCGAAAGCCUUAAUGUUCUCAAUCCUGAGUGAUGUCGACAUAAUAUUCAUCAUCGUCGUUGUCAACAUCAUCAUCCACCGGGGUAUGCUUUUUUGGUUCAAGGCAAUGACAAUUAUAAUUGAUAUUGGGCACAUCUUCCCAAUUUCCCCAAAAUUCAGCUUCCGCAUCAAGUUUAGCCUGCAAUGCAUCACAUUCUUUCUUGAUUCCUUUCAUGUAUCGAUUGUAGCGAGCAUCAGAAAAUGAGAUACCCAGCCGACGAAGUCUGUCAAAAUAAAGUUGCUCAACUUCAGGAUAACGAAUCGACUCGUCAUCAACCUCUUGCUCCGUCAGCAUCCAAUCUUUGCCCUUUUUGACUCUCCUAGCAGUAAACUUGCGUAAACGAUAGUAGAAAUCAUUCCACUUGAUCUCUUGAGCGUGCUCUUGAGCCUGACGACGUUUCCCCUAUAAGAUCUCCUCUUUCAGGCUCAUUGGAGCCCCCUUAAUGGUUUACAGAAAAUCAAUAACUCAGCAAUAAAGUAAAUCUUUGAGCAAUAUCCACAGGCUGGCUGAUUGAAUUAUUGCAUGAUUUGAAUGAAGCUUGCAGAAAAUCCAGUGUUCAAUGAAUGCUUCGUUCAAACAUUAUGCUGCAUAAAUUGAUAUAGCAUGGUUUGUAAGAAAAAAGCUGAUGCGGGGAGCUGAUGUGACCAUACGUUUUAAAUUAAUUAUUUGCACACCCUUCAAAAAAUAGUUCUCAGCAUCACAUUUCAAUAAUUACUUAAAAAAAUUAUAUAUAUAUAUCAAAUUUUGAUUUCAAAAAUUAAUAUAACCCUUAAUAUAAGUUUCAAUAUUAGCUUAAAUAUUAAGUUCAUAAGAAAUAUUUAUUGAAAAAUAAAUUUCAAGUUUGGUCGCCCAUAAUAGGGGCGACCUUGGCUGGGGAGAGAUCCCACAACAAAGGUCGCCCGUGGAAGGGCGACCAGUGUCAAGGGUUGGGGUCGCCAGAUGCAGGGGCGACCCUUGCCCCUCCACCCCACAGUAGGGCUGCUCAUGGGUUGUCCAACCCGUUAAAACCAACCCAACCCAACCUUAAACUAGGCCGACUAACCCGACCCAUUCCAAACCGUGGGUUAAUUGGGUUGAUUUUUGGUUGAGCCGUUUAUAAUGGGUUGGGUCGAAAUAUAACUUUUAAGAAACCUUAAACCAACCCAACCCGGUCAAAAUACAUCUUUAACACUUUGAUAAAAUAUUUUUGGUUCCUCAAGGAACUAUAUUUACUUAUUUGAUGAUAGAAUGUGCAGUGAGUGUAGUGCAAUGUGCAGAAACAAUUAGAAAUAAAGCUUUGUAGUUCAAAUCAAACGACUCACAUUGCUAGUUCUUAUGAUUAUAUAUCAUGGCAGAAACAUUAUUUUUAAUAGUUAUUACUUUAUUAAGAUUCAGUUGUCCACCUUAGUAUGGAAAGAAUAUCUGCACUCUAAAAGCACAUGAUAUUUUGUAUCGGUGCAUGUCCUAUGUUAUUGCUAAUUGUACAAAAGAAAAUGGUGCAAAACAUAUUUUGGAUUAUGCUUAUCUUGCAAAUUUUUCAACCCGAUUAACCCUACCCUAACCAACCCAACCCGUCAUACAAUUAGUAGGGUUGGGUUUCUAAUUAUUUUUAUGGUUAAUGGGUUAAAUUUUUGUAACCCGUACUAAAUGGGUUGGGUCGCUUGAAUGGCUGAAACCGGCCCAACCCAGCCCAUGUGCAGCCCUACUGCACAGCACAGGUCGCCCGUACAAGGGGCGACCCCUUCUCCAAAUUUUCUUGAGUUUGGGUCGUCCGAGUUCCAAUUAAUUAGAAUGAUUAGUUUUGAAAAGUCGAAACGAAACUGUUUGUUUUUGAAAAGAACGCGUUCAAACUACUUAGUUUUGUAAGGGAGCCCACAUAUGAACCCACACUUUUCUUGUGAUUUUUGGAACAUGAUAACUAGGCGAAGUGUGCUCCUAAACUCUUUAAUGGUUUGAUGAAUAAUAGGAGUUUAGCCUUCAAUGAUUCGGUAAAUAGUGGGAGUUAACGGUGUCAAUCACUCAAUAAUAUUAUAAAUAAAUUAAUAUUAUAUUUAAAAAUUAUAAAUAUAUGCUAAAAUCUAAGUUAAAAAAAGGCUAAUUGAAAUUAAAUUUUAUAAAAUGGUAAUUUUUAUUUAAAAAUUUACACAUAAUAUCAUUAUUAUAUAAAUAAUAUUUAAAAUUUAGUUUAGGUUUUAGUUAUUAUAUAUAUUUCAUUAUCAUGCAUAAUAUAUUAUUAAUAUCAAAUUUUAUUAGUCGCUUAUUUAUAUUAUACUAUUUUAGCUUAAUAUUAUUUAUUUUUUUCUUAUUUAUUCAUUAUUUAAACUAAAAAUAUGUUAAUAAUAUAUUAAUAUUUAUCUCCACUUAAUAUUAUUUAUUUUUUAAAAAUAUCGUUAUUUUUAAAUUUGAAUUUUCCAUAAAUUUUAAUUUACUUUAUAAGAUUAUUUAACUUAUUUUAUUCUUCUUUAAAAAUAAAUAAUAAUUCAAUACUGAAAAGUGACACGACAUCUACACAUAUAAGCGAAACUGAGUAAUGCAUAAUUAUAUCGCUUUCUACUUAGAUUGACAAUUAAUUGAUUUUUCUAAUAGAUACGUAAAUGUUUAAAUACUUUCAGUGUUGGCAAUAAAUGUAUCAUCAUAAAAAGCCUUUUUCACUAAAUCAACAUCAUGAUAAUCCUGUAAAUAUGUAAUCAUGAACAUGAUGAACAAUAGAAAAAUAAAAACCAAACUCUCACAACAAAAGAUUAAACAAAACCCAAAUAAAAAAAAUAGGACAUGAAUUAAGAGGUAAUAAAAAAUUAAGAAAAGAUUGGGGAUUUUCAUCCACGAAAGGUGAUGGAAGCCCCUUGGAUAAUAACACAUAACAGCAAUGACUACAUCAAGACAUAAUUUAAAGAUAUUUCAGACAUAGACAAUUAUUCAAUAUUCUCUUAAACAUAACUUGUUUUAUUCUAUAAACAGAUUAUGUUUAUUUUGAUAUAAAUAAUUAACUAAAAAUUUCAUAUUACAUUUUUAGAAAGCAAACAAAGAACUCAACAUAAUUAUUUUUAAUAGUGAUAAUUGCAUAUCGCACCCCAUUAUUUUUGUUCAAGAAAUAAUUUUAUAUCAUAAUUAUAAAUUAUUCAAAUCGGAAUCCAUUAUUUCAACCCGCUAAAUCAGCUUCAUCCCUAGAGUUAUAUGUGCAUAAAUGCGUGUCGUUAACAUUCAAAAUCAAGAACCGGCUUAACAAUAAAGCAAAAUAAGCGGUCACUUAGCGCACCACACAUAUAAGAAGCUUAUAAUUAUUAAACACACACAUAAAUAUUAAUAUUUUCUUCAUGAAAAUAAAUAAAUAAAUGGAUUUAAAAAUUUUUGAGCUCUUGUAUGUAUGAGGGUCCUAAAGCCCUGCUCUCGAAUUAUAAUUAGGGAGGAAAGCAGGUGAAAAAAAAGAGUAAAGUCAUAUACCUUUCACUUCUGUUUGUGCUCCCGAAUUUUUCAAAAGGAGGAAAGCAAGUGAAAAUAAAUGCAAAUAUAACAUACUUUCACUCCAAAACUUUCACUCCUAAAAUGGGAUGAAAGUAAAAGCACAUUUGCUUUCACUUGCUUUCUCUCAUGAAAAAACUUAGGAGCAGGGCCUAAGUGACCGCUUUUUUUGUUUAAUUAUUGAGCCGAUUCUCGAUUUUUAAUGUUAACGAUACGUAUUUAUGCAUAUUUAAUAGAAGAUGUGCAAAUUGAUCUAGCGGAUUGAAGUAAAGAAAUACAAUUUAAAUUAUUCAUAAUCAUAAUAUAAAAUUGUUUUUUUAAUAAAAGGAUAUAAAAUUGUUUCUGAUAAAAAUAGUAGGGUGUGAAUCCUGUUUUGGUAAUUACCGUGUAGGGGGAAAUUAAAUGUACACAAUUGUACAGCCCACUUUUACAACCAACAAAUCGUGAUCGUUGGUUGGGUGAGAUUUUCGAUGCUGGGUGCGUACAUCAGUGACUUAAAGUCACUGAUCAGUGACUUUAUAUCACUGAUGUCCCCUCCAUAAUUCUUUUUCCUAUCAUACCCUUACCGCAUUAAUAACAACAGUGAAUUCAAGUUCCUGAUGGUGUAUACAUUAAUAACAACAGUGAGUUUAAGUCCCUGAUGUGUACAAUGUUAUUUACAUUUUUACUAAAUGAUCCAUACUUACGGAUGUUAAGGUCUAAAUAUAUCAGUGAUAUUAUAUGAAUUUCAGAAGAAAAAAAAUAACUCUAUUUGUAUUGAGAUUUUAGCAGUCAAGUAGUGGUUUGUUUGACUUGUACUAUUAUCGUGUACUUUAUCAUGUAUUGCUCUUUAUAUUUUUUAAAAAAUAUUGAUCAAUGAUCUAACCGUACGGAUGUGAAGAUGUAUAUAUUUUGAUGCUAAUUAAGAAGAAGUUUCAGGAAAAAAUAACUAUAUUUGGAUUGAGAUUUUAGCAGUCAACUACUGUUUUGAUUUGUACUAGUAUCUAGUGUUUUAUCAUGUAUUACUGCUUACAUUUUUUUAAAAAUAUUUCUGGAUGAUCCAACCGUACGGAUGUGGAGAUUUAUAUAUUUUGAUGAUAUUAAAAAUGUUUCAUAAAAAAAUAAUUUUAUUUGGUUGGAGAGUAGCAGUCAACUAGUGGUUUGACUUGUACUAAGAUCUAGUGUUUUAUCAUGUAUUACUGCUUACAUUUUUAAAAAAAUAUUUCUGGAUAAUCCAACCUUACGGAUGUGAAGAUUUAUAUAUUUUGAUGAUACUAAAAAAGUUUCAGAAAAAAAUAAUUUUAUUUGGAUGGAGAGAUUUGUCUCAACUAGUGGUUUGACUGGGAGUAGCAUCUAGUGUUUUAUCAUGUAUUACUGCUUACAUUUUUUUAAAAAUAUUUCUGGAUGAUCCAACCGUACAGAUGAGAAGAUUUAUAUAUUUUGAUGAUAUUAUAAAAGUUUCAGAAAAAAAUAAUUUUAUUUGGAUGGAGAGUUUAGCAGUCAAUUAGUGGUUUGACUUGUACAAGCAUCUAGUGUUUUAUCAUGUAUUACUGCUUACAUUUUUUUAAAAAUAUUUUUGGAUGAUCCAACCGUACGGAUGUAAAGAUUUAUAUAUUUUGAUGAUAUAAAAAAAAGUUUCAGAAAAAAAUAGUUUUAUUUGGAUGGAAAGUUUAGCAGUCAACUAGUGGUUUGACUUGUACUUGCAUCUAGUGUUUUAUCAUGUAUUACAACUUACAUUUCUUUAAAAAUAUUUCUGGAUGAUCCAACCGUACAGAUGUGAAGAUUUAUAUAUUUUGAUGAUAUUAAAAAAGUUUUAGAAAAAAUUUUUUUUAUGUGGAUGGAGAGUUUAGCGGUCAACUAGUGGUUUGACUUGUAGAAGCAUCUAGUGUUUUAUCAUGUAUUACUGGUUACAUUUUUUUAAAAAUAUUUUUGGAUGAUCCAACCGUACGGAUGUAAAGAUUUAUAUAUUUUGAUGAUAUAAAAAAAAGUUUCAGAAAAAAAUAAUUUUAUUUGAAUGAAUAGUUUAGCAGUCAACAAGUGGUUUGACUUGUACUAGCAUCGAGUGUUUUAUCAUGUAUUACUGCUUACAUUUAUUAAAAAAAAAAUAUUUCAGGAUGAUCCAACUGUACGGAUGUGAAGAUUUAUAGAUUUUGAUGAUAUAAAAAAGGUUUCAUUUAAAUUUUUUUUUUUAGGUGUAGAGUUUAGCAGUCAGCUAGUGAUUUGAGUUAUACUAGCAUCUAUUGUUUUAUCAUGUAUUACUGCUUACAUUUUUUUAAAAAUAUUUCUGGAUGAUUCAACCGUACAGAUGUGGAGAUUUAUAUAUUUUGAUGAUAUAAAAAACAAUUCAUAAAACAAUAAUUUUAUUUGGAUGGAGAGUUUAGCAGUCAACUAGUGGUUUGAAUUGUACUAGCAUCUAGUUUUUUAUCAUGUAUUCCAGCUUAUAUUUUUAAAAAAAUAUUUCUGGAUGAUUAAACCGUACGGACGUGAAGAUUUAUAUAUUUUGAUGAUAUUAAAAAAGUUUCAGAAAAAAAUAAUUUUAUUUGGAUGGAGAGUUUUGUAGUCAACUAGUGGUUUGACUUGUAGAAGCAUCUAUUGUUUUAUCAUGUAUUACUGCUUACAUUUUUUUAAAAAUAUUUUUGGAUGAUAAAACCGUACGUAUGUGAAGAUUUAUAUAUUUUGAUGAUAUUAAAGAAGUUUCAGAAAAAAAUAAUUUUAUUUGGAUGGAGAGUUUAGCAGUCAACUAGUGGUUUGACUUGUACUAACAUCUAGUGUUUUAUCAUGUAUUACAGCUUAUAUUUUUUAAAAAAUAUUUCUGGAUAAUCCAACCCUACGGAUGUGAAGAUUUAUAUAUUUUGAUGAUAUUAAAAAAGUUUUAGAAAAAAAAAAUUUAUUUGGAUGGAGAGUUUAGCGGUCAACUAGUGGUUUGACUUGUAGAAGCAUCUAGUGUUUUAUCAUGUAUCACUGCUUACAUUUUUUUAAAAAUAUUUUUGGAAGAUCAAACCGUACGGUUGCGAAGAUUUAUAUAUUUUGAUGAUAUUAAAAAAGUUUCAGAAAAAAAUAAUUUUAUUUGGAUGGAGAGUUUAGCAGUCAACUAGUGGUUUGACUUGUACUAGCAUCCAGUGUUUUAUCAUGUAUUACAGCGUAUAUUUUUUUAAAAAUAUUUCUGGAUGAUCCAACCGUACGGAUGUGAAGAUUUAUAUAUUUUGAUGAUAUUAUAAAAGUUUCAAAAAAAAUAAUUUUAUUUUAAUGGAGAGUUUAUCAGUCUACUAGUGGUUUAAUUUGUACUAGCAUCCAGUGUUUUAUCAUGUAUUAUUGCUUACAUUUUUUAAAAAAUAUAUCUGGAUGAUCCAACCGUACGGAUGUGAAGAUUUAUAUAUUUUGAUGAUAUUAAAAGAGUUUUAGAAAAAAAUAAUUUUAUUUGGAUGUAGAGUUUAGCAGUCAAUUAUUGGUUUGACUUGUACUAGCAUUUAGCGUUUUAUCAUGUAUUACUACUUACAUUUUUUUAAAAUUAUUUCUGGAUGAUCCAACCGUACGGAUGUGGAGAUUUAUAUAUUUUAAUGAUAUAAAAAAAAUUCAUAAAAAAAUAAUUUUAUUUGGAUGGAGAAUUUAGCAAUUAACUAGUGGUUUGACUUGUACUUGCAUCUAGUGUUUUAUCAUGUAUUACAGCUUAGAUUUUUUAAAAACUAUUUUUGGAUGAUCCAACCGUACGAAUGUGAAGAUUUAUAUAUUUUGAUGAUAUUAAAAAAGGUUCAGGAAAAAAUAAUUUUAUUUGGAUGGAGAGUUUAGCUGUCAACUGUCAACUAGUGGUUUGACUUGUGGAAGCAUCUAGUGUUUUAUCAUGUAUUACUGCUUACAUUUUUUAAAAAUAUUUUUGGAUGAUCCAACCGUACGGAUGUCAAGAUUUAUAUAUUUUGAUGAUAUUAAAAAAAUUUCAAAAAAAAUUAAUUUUAUUUGGAUGUAGAGUUUAGCAGUCAACUAGUGGUUUGACUUGUACUAGUAAAUUGACAUUUAUCAUGUAUUUGUGUUUCUAUUUUUUUGAAAAUAUUUCUCGACGAUCCAACCGUACGGAUGUCAAAGUCUAUAUAUUUUGAUGAUAUUAAAAAAGUUUCAGAAAAAAAUAACUAUUUUCCGUUUGAAAUCUUAACAGUCAACUAGUGGUUUGACUUGUAUAUGUAAGUAGUAUUUUAUCAUGUAUUGUCGUUUCAAUUUUUUUGAAAAUAUAUCUCGAUGAUCCAACCGUACGGAUGUCAAAGUUUAUAUAUUUUGAUGGUAUUAAAAAAGUUUUAGAAAAAAAUAAUUUUUUUUGGAUGUCAAAGUUUAUAUAUUUUGAUGGUAUAAAAAAUAUUUUAGAAAAAAAUAAUUUUUUUCCGUUUGAUAUUCUAACAGUCAACUAGUGGUUUGACUUGUAUUUUGAUUAUUUGUAAGUAAAAUUAUUUUUCAAAAAUAUGUCUGGAUGAUUAUAAAAAUUAUAAAUUAUAUUAUUAGUUAUAAGUGAUGAGUUUUUAUGUUAAGCAAUAUAAUCAUCUAAAUUGAAAAGAUAAUAUGUGUUGUGUUGAACUUGUGCAAAAUUCCAUCCUUUUCAUUUUAUUAUUGUUCUUAAAAAAUCACGAACUUAGUUUUUUUCGUUAAUUAUAGAUAUAACGAAGCUCCUAUACCUUAUGUUAAUCAAAUGCUAAACAAAAAUCAACAUUUUUUGGAGUUUUACUUAAAAUCAUGUCAGUGACUUGAAGUCACUAGUAUUGACUUGGAAUUUUUUUUUCCCGUGUCGCUUAUUUGUUACUUAGGAUUCUUUUCAAACCUCUAAAUCAAUCUCCAAAAUUACAACAGUGACUUGAAGUUACUGAUUUUCUUUACUUAGAAUUUUUUCCAAGAUUACGCAUUAGUGACUUCAGCUCACUAAUGUUCUUUACUUAAAUUUUCCAGCCCUCUAGUUUUGGGGAGCUAUUUUAACGAUUUCAUCAGUGACUCAAGGUUACGAAUAUCCCCAGAAUUACAUUAGUGACUUCAAGUCACUGAUUACGAAUAUCCCCAGAAUUACAUUAGUGACUUCAAGUCACUGAUGUUUUUGACUUAGAAUUUUUUCCAGCCCUCUAGUUUUGGGGAGCUACUGUAACGUUUUCAUCAGUGACUUAAGGUCACGGAUAUCCCCAGAACUAUAACAGUGACUUGAAAUCACUGAUGUUCUUUACUUAAAAAAUUUUCCACCGCUAUAGUCUUGGGAGCUAAUAUAACGAUUUCAUUUCAUCAGUGACCUUAUUUAUGAUUUUUUUUACUAGGUAGUUGGGGUGUUGGUACAUUGUUGGUUGAUGUAAAUUAAAUGCAACAUCACUGAUCUCAUGUCACUGAAGGUGAGAGGGAUAAUACCGACAUUUUAGAUUUUUCGCUCAAAAUCAGUGACUUCCGGUCACUGAUUAGUGACUUGAAGUCACUAACGUAGCUAUUUAAUAUUUUUUUCAUGCGUCCGAAAGAUCAUGUCACUGAUGUACUUUAUUUAAUGCACACCAUUAGUAACUUCAAGUCACUGAUGGUGUACACCUACAUUUCCUGCAGGAUUGUGUACAUGUAACCGGCCCCCUACGGUGUAACUAUGCACGCACUUCCAAAAUCCUAUCUACUCAUUUGUUUAUACUUUAUUAUAAGUUGAUGCAUCAAAACAAAAUUUGGUCAAAUUAUUGAAACGACAAUUGGGCUUCACUUGAUCGCGAAAAGAUAGGAUGUUCUUCCGCAGUUGUUUUUUUUCGCAGGAACAGUUAUACUCAUGUCUACCUAGAUCGCUCAGUGGUAUGUCCAAUUAUUAUCUCUGCUUUGUCUGUAUCUAUAUAUUUUCUUAAUUCAUCAUUGUAAUAACAUGUUUGUAUCCAUCUAUUUUGAUUCCACGCCAAAUCCACGUCUUAUACUUGCCAAUUUUCGUACCUGUCUUUAUUUGCUCCAGUAGAUUUAAUUUUAUAAUAUAUGCAUGUAUAGUGUUUGUGUAUAUGUAUGUGAAGGCAUAUUCUUUGUGUGUGUGGUUGUAUGGUUUGUUUUUGUUGGAUGUCCCAGAGUUGAUUUAAUUGUACUACUUGUUCGGUCCCAUCCAUUUGUUUGAGCACGGAGGUUAAGAAAAGUUGCGAGGAAGUACAAGAAAACUGGGUCUGUAAAGAUGAUCAGGCAUGCAGAGAUAACCAACAUAGUUUUAUGCCGUUUACUUUUGAUACAUUUGGGUUCCUAGCUUCUGACACUGUUGAGUUUCUUAGGAGAGUUGUGAACAGGAACGUGAUGGCUGCAGGUUCGGCUGAAUAUGUUUUUCGAAGAAUUAGAUUUUCUAUUCAACGAGGACUUGCAGCGCAAGUUGUUACCCGUAUACCUUGUACACUUGUAUUGUUGUAUACAUAUUUUACUGCUUAUGAUAAAACAUAUAAUAAAUGGGGGGGCAAAAACCCUUUUCUUAUGUUCUACUAUAAUCUAUAAUAUUUGUCAUAAACUAAUGUAUAAUUCAACUUUAUAGUGAAUUCCAUUUUUAUCUAUUCCUAAAUAAUAACAUUAAAAAAACAUCAAGCAGGAAUAGAUAGUAUCUGUAUAUGCGAUUUUUUUUAUUGUGGCAGUGGACCAUAGUAGAAGUUUGCACUGGGUAACCAGUGACCGGUGUAGGGGAAAAGUUGCAAAGCAACAAAACAAGUGUAUCUUCUAGUUUAGAAUUGUACUUGUGGUUGCUAACUGAAGAACCUGGUCUAAAUAAAGUGAGAUGUCAGUAGAAUCCUAGAAGGGAAUGUGAAGAACCGUACUGAAUGUCUAAUUUUAGUCUUUAGACCUUGGGUCACAGUUUCCAUUUUGACAGGUAAAGGCUUGCUAGAAAUUUUAGGAAGUUUUCAAUCACUUGACGUGCACAAUGAUUAUUUCCGUGUUUACUGGAAGUAAAGAUGGAUCCUUCUGAGAAGUGAUGAGUCAAAACUGAAGUUCCUUUACUGGAUGAGAUGAAGGAUUCUUGAAGAACAAGUAAGAGUGAUAAUGAAGCCCUUGAUGCUGAUGAUUACAUUGAAGCAGAGCUAUAAAAAAUAAACAAUAUGACCCUAAAGGAAGCUGAUGCAGCUGAAGAUGAAGCAAAUGAAAAUUCUCAUGUGGCAGUGCGCAAGGCACAAGGAAAAGCAGCAAGUCACAGUCGAGCCAUAGAAGAAGCCCACAACAAGUAUCCCAAGACUGGUAAAUUAUCAUUUUGUUAUAGGAUUUAAUAAAUUUUUACCAUAUUUCCUAUAUUUUAUGAAAAUGGCUGAAACAUUACAUGGACUGUAGUUUAUUAUAUUCUUGGAACAAAUAAUGGAAUAAAACUUGUUAAGAUAGGAAGUUCUUUGUGGAUGUUAUAUAAUGUGUAUAUAGGUUUACCUGUAGAAUUCAAACUGAAAAAGAAUGUUAUUACCUGUAAGUCACUCCCUCUGUCCCGGUGAAAAGUAUACACUUGGAAGUUGGAACAGAGGGCUAGGCACGCAUUUUAAGGCUCUUGUAAAAAACAAUCCAAUAAAUUAUAUUAAUUGUUUUUCUUCAGAAUAAAACUUUAAUGUCUAAACUUUUAUUCAGAAACAAAAAAUUUAAAAAUGAGUUAUAAAAUUAUAUUUUAUAAAAACCUUAAAAUGUGUGCCAAAUAGUGGGAAAAAAAAACUGUAUAAAAAUGAGUGGGACGGAGGGAGUAAUAGUUCCAUAUUAAAGGUAAACAUUUUUUUUUGAAUAUAUAUGUAUACAACAUACUAUCAAGUGAAAUUAUUAGUGUUUUCACAAAUUGAUCUAGAAAAUAACUUUUUGGAUGAUAUUUAGAGACGAAUAUAAGAUAAUUACUGGGUACAGAUGUGCAGAUACAAAUUUUGCUAGGAUGAACCGUUUGAUGAAAGGCAACUUUACCUAGCCUCACAUGGCCUUUUUCUUGGUAAUGGUUAGUAGGUUGUUUAGAAGGAUAGUUGCUAGCAGGCUUGUCUCUUCGCUAACCUUCUAAACAACCCUUUAGCAAAGAUGGAAAUUGAAAUACUGGCAUAUGAAUAAUGGGUAUAUAUAUCUGUGAUUCUCCUUUGUUUCUGUGUUAAAAGUUGCUUCCUGCGCUUGCUCUUACUCUCUGCACUGCAACCCUUGAUGCUGAUGAUUACAUUGAAGCAGAGCCAUAAAAAAUAAACAAUAUGACCCUAAAGGAAGCUGAUGCAGCUGAAGAUGAAGCAGAUGAAAAUUCUCAUGUGGCAGUGCGCAAGGCACAAGGAAAAGCAGCAAGUCACAGUCAAGCCAUAGAAGAUGCCCACAAGAAGUAUCCCAAGACUGGUAAAUCUUCAUUUUCUUAUAGGAUUUAAUAUUUUUUUUACCAUAUUUCCUAUACUUUCUGAAAAUGGCUGAAAGCAAAUAUGACAUGGAAUGCAUUCUAUUAUAUUCUUGGAACCAAUAAUGGAAUAAAACUUGUUAAGAUAGGGAGUUCUCAGUGGAUGUUAUAUAAUGUGUAUAUAGGUUUUCUUUCAGAAUUCAAACUGAAAAAGAAUGUUAUUACCUGUAAGUUACUCCCUCUGUCCCGGUAAAAAGUAUACACUUGGAAGUUGGAACAGAUGGCUAGGCACGCAUUUUAAGGCUCUUGUAAAAUACAAUCCGAUAAAUUAUUAUUAUUUUUCCUUCAGAAUAAAACUUUAAUAUCUAAACUUUUAUCCAAAAACAAAAAAUUUUAAAAAUGAGUUAUAAAACUAUAUUUUAUAAAAACUUUAAAAUGCGUGCCAAAUAGUGCCAAAAAAAUCUGUAUAGAAAUGAGUGGGACGGAGGGAGUAAUAUUUUCAUAUUAAAGGUAAACAUUUUUUUUAAAUAUAUAUGUAUACAACAUACUAUCAAGUGAAAUUAUCAGUGUUUUCACAACUUGAUUUAGAAAAUAGCUUUUUGGAUGAUAUUUAGAGCAUCAGUACUGAAGAACAUAAGAUAAUACUGGGUACAGAUGUGCAGAUGCAAAUUUUGCUAGGAUGAACCGUUUGAUGAAAGGCAACUUUACCUAGCUGCACAUGGCCAUUUUCUGGGUUAUGGUUAGUAGGUUGUUUAGAAGGAUAGUUGCUAGCAGGCUUGUCUCUUUGCUAACCUUCUAAACAACCCUUUAGCAAAGAUAGAAAUUGAAUUACUGGCAUAUGAAUAAUGUGUAUAUAUAUAUAUGUGAUUCUCCUUUGUUUCUGUGUUAAAAGUUGCUUCCUGCGCUUGCUCUUAUUCUCUGCACUGCAACCUCUCAUUUUACAUGAAAAAUUGAAGCGGAAACAAAGAUAUGUAGUCACCAAACUCCAGAGGAAGCUGCUAAGGACGCAUUUUAAGGCUUAUUGGAGCUAUAUCCAAGACUUUUAAAAAUUGUCCCAUGACCGGUAAAACGUUAUUUAUUUGUUGUGCUUGAGCUUGUUUCUCAUGUUUUCUAUUGCCUCUGCAAAUAUUUGACAACUGAUGUGAUGUGGACUGCAGUUUAUUAAUGUGGAUAUAUUUUAAAUAACUCUAACCCUUAGCGCAAAGGCAUAUAGAUCGUACUACUUUGGUCUUAAUAUAGACAGAAGUGCAAAUAGUCUGCUAGGAUAAAAUAUUAUAAAUUCGCCAACUUUAGUGCAGAAUUAAAAGUAAAUGAUCUCCGUGUGUUGUGCUGUUGUAAGUUCUCGUUCAACUUGUCCUUAUUAUCACUACAACAACCUCCUAGUUGCAUAACAGAUUACAUACUUUAUAAGAUAUUGGUUUGGGCGAAUCAUUAGCCGAAAUGAAGUAAUAUAAAAGAGCAUAUGCCGGAGGGUAAUUAAAGUUUGGAUACUUAUAAGACGUAUUUUAAGCUAGGAAGCACGGACUCGGAUACGACGACAUAAGACACGGGGGUUCGCCAACUAUCAAAGACACCCGGAUACGGGACUCGGCACAAAAAAUUAAUAAUAGUAAUAAAAUAGGAUUCAUAUAUGUCAAACUUCAUUCAUAAUAUAAUAUAAUGUCUUUACGAUAAGUGGUAAUCUAAUAUAAGAUUCAUUUGAUGCAUUUUCAUUCCUCCCUCUCUAUAACAUCUUGUUGAGAUGCAUAAGAGGUGGUAGCUUGUUUCCUGACAUUUUCGGAAACAUUUUUGAAAUCAUCACUCAUUGUAGCAAUUCUUUUGUCGAUCCCAGUGAUCAUGGUACUAAGUUUGUCCACCUUAUUUCCGAGAGCUACCAAAUUAUCGGGUUUCUUCUUAUCAGCCUCUUCAUCGACUUGUUGAUUGGCUCUUUCUGUUUCCUCCUCCAUAGCCUUUCCGUUCUCAGGUGAAUCAAGAAAGGGUUGAUCGGUAAACAUUUUCUUGCCUGCUCGUGUCCAUGGACGUCACCCCCGUGUCAAAGGGCCGUCCCCCGUAUGCGUGUUGACACGCCACAUGGGUAGUCGGACCGACCUCAGCCGAUUCGCUGAGUAGGACAUGCACACCACACCCAUUUUGAUCAGUAUGGGCUUCCUAGGUCUUAAGUAUGUGACACAUACACAUGACAUUAAUGCUUUGGUAUUUAUGUCAAAUAUAAUGAAUGUAUAUGAUGUGUUGUGAUGUCAUGUGUGUUGGGGAUAAAAAUACGAGAUUCAACUUCUAAUGCAAAACACACACACAAAAAUAUAUGACGCGGAAAAUCCACGUCCCAGCUUGUAUUAUUAAUCAAAACUGUAGUCAAUAAUACAAUCCACCAAACUUGGAUACUCAAGGCUCACAGUACUCAAGCAUCCGCCUUCGAGCAAUACCUAAGUCUACAUCUUGAACACGCCUAUCAAACACAAUAUGACUAUGUAUAUAUAGCCAUCUGAAACUUAUACAAAUUAUAAUCUAAUUCUGAAAUACCUAACUCGAGUUAGAAUCCAAUUCUGAAAUCUAACUCAAAUUUUCUAUGGAUCAAUGCAUUUUGUUGAUUUAGAAUGUUUUGUAAAUAUGUUUUGAACUAGAACGGAGGGAAAAUAAAGGGAAUUUCGAAGUUUGUCUGUAGAAACAUUUCUUAGGUUGCACGAUAUAUUCACAUCAAAUCGUGUUUAUAGUAGAUACCCUGUAAAGUGAUCACCUCCAGGUCAUAUCUUCCUUAUUUUAAAUUAGGAUAAACCCCUCAUGAUAUCCGUCUGUAAUGAUACUUCCGCUCAGUUACCCGGACUCUUCGAUUUUGGCUUGACCGGACAAGACAUGGGUGUGGGUACCGGAUCUGAGUCUGGUUUUUCAUAUUGAAACCGGACACUUCAUCUUAUAACAAUUUAAGUGCAAAAUGAUGAUAUAAAAUGCCUUAUAACAACUUGUUCUAAGAUGUAAAAUGGAUUAAAUGAGCUAGUUGUAGUUGUGAAUUUUGUAGGUUGCAAAUUCCCUUUGUAUUUAUAAGAGGUGUUUAUAAACUUUGAAGAUGUACAAUUCAUGAUAAUUUUAUUGGAUGGAAGUGUUACAUGAGUAAAUCUUUUGGAAAUCCCACAAACUAUGGAUAUUGUAUGUAUUCAUUGGCUAAAACACAUAUUAAAUUAUUUCAGAGCAAUAUAAUUGUGAAUCCGUCUGUAAUGAUACUUUCGCUCGGUUACCCGGACUCUUCGAUUUUGGCUUGACCGGACAAGACAUGGGUGUGGGUACCGGAUCUGAGUCUGGUUUUUCAUAUUGAAACCGGACACUUCAUCUUAUAACAACUUAAGUGCAAAAUGAUGAUAUAAAAUGCCUUAUAACAACUUGUUCGUAAACCAUAUAUGACUCUUUUUUUUUAUGUUAUCCUUGACUUUAUGACACAAAUAUGAUGCAUGUAAUCACGUGCAUACCCUUAAUUGGUAGAAGACAUUAGUCAUACAUACCUUCUAAGAUGUAAAAUGGAUUAAAUGAGCUACUUAACUUUUGGGCACACAUGUUAAAGUGCUUUGACCAAGAAAAUGAAAUAAAUAAUUUACGGAGCUACGUGGUCAAUGCACUUUAAACUGUGUGCUGAAAUUCAACUGCCUCAUAUAAUUAGAUCUAAUUUGGGAUGGAGCUGUGGAGGGAGUAUUUUUGUAGGCCCUAAUAAUAUUAUUUUAGAGGGGCUUUAUUGUAUCCAUAAAUUUAAGGUCUUGUGACAUAUGAGUGUACAUCUUGAUGUUUGGAUUGAAGUGGAAUAAUAACAUGACAUGUUCUAUAAAGUUUUACUGAGCAUGUUUAUAUUUGCGUGGUGGGAUUCAAGGAAGUUAAGAUUUAAAUAGGAGUUCGUCAAGCUAAAUUAUUCGUAUAAAUAUUCUGUUUAAGAUUUUCAACGUGAGACUACUUCGAGUUACAACUUACAAUCUUUCCCUUUGUAAAGUUUAUGAUUUUUACUUUGAACUAAAGCAAUUGGUAAUGGGACUUCCAAAACUUUAGUGGACAAUGGGAGAGAAUAUGCCUAUAUAUAUAGAUGCACAGUAAUGAGAGACCCAGAAACUUUUCUUUUAAAUUUGAGAUAAACGUGAACCUCCUUAUAUGGGAUCACGACACAGUAGUGUGUAAGCAUUUACUUUUGUGGUUUACAAAGCACAACAUUGUGCUAAAGUAUAAAAUAUUCCAAAAAAAAUUAUCUAGCUGACUCGUCUCUUAUGGUUGUGUCAUGCAAAAAAUUUGUCACUACUUUUGUCAUGUAACCUUUACCACGCAGGUUGAUUAAAAACCUUGAAGAGUGUUCUAUCCACCUAUCCAAGAUGUUGGAUCUGCUGAUUUUUGGCAACUUUUACAAAAUUAAUGCAGUAUUGUUAAAAUUGUGGUGCCAAGCCUCGAACAGUUCUUGGCAGUGUUUUUGACUGGGAUGUUGAAAUUGUGGCGCCAAGUUUCAAACAAGUCCCACCAACGGUUCAGAAAUACAAGUGUCAAGGUUAGAUAUGCUUAUAAUUUUCUUAGCUUUGAUUUAUUCACUUACGAUGGGGUUUGUCUGAAAUGGAAUUAGACAUUUUAGUUGUGAUAAAUUGGGUCAGCUUAGUCCCUCCUGCGUUGUAAUAAGCUAAAGUGUAAACAAGGCCUAAGUCAUAAAUCUCGUUGUUGUGGUAUCUAGGUGCUUAACAAAAUGACUUUAGGUUGUGUAUUAUUGAAGGCUAUAGACAAGAUAAAGACGUCUCGUGGUACUACUUUGAAGUGUUCUUGCGAAUUUCUAUCUGAAACACGUUUUUUAGACUACCUUAUCUUUGUUUCUUANUAAGAUGUAAAAUGGAUUAAAUGAGCUAGUUGUAGUUGUGAAUUUUGUAGGUUGCAAAUUCCCUUUGUAUUUAUAAGAGGUGUUUAUAAACUUUGAAGAUGUACAAUUCAUGAUAAUUUUAUUGGAUGGAAGUGUUACAUGAGUAAAUCUUUUGGAAAUCCCACAAACUAUGGAUAUUGUAUGUAUUCAUUGGCUAAAACACAUAUUAAAUUAUUUCAGAGCAAUAUAAUUGUGAAUCCGUCUGUAAUGAUACUUUCGCUCGGUUACCCGGACUCUUCGAUUUUGGCUUGACCGGACAAGACAUGGGUGUGGGUACCGGAUCUGAGUCUGGUUUUUCAUAUUGAAACCGGACACUUCAUCUUAUAACAACUUAAGUGCAAAAUGAUGAUAUAAAAUGCCUUAUAACAACUUGUUCGUAAACCAUAUAUGACUCUUUUUUUUUAUGUUAUCCUUGACUUUAUGACACAAAUAUGAUGCAUGUAAUCACGUGCAUACCCUUAAUUGGUAGAAGACAUUAGUCAUACAUACCUUCUAAGAUGUAAAAUGGAUUAAAUGAGCUACUUAACUUUUGGGCACACAUGUUAAAGUGCUUUGACCAAGAAAAUGAAAUAAAUAAUUUACGGAGCUACGUGGUCAAUGCACUUUAAACUGUGUGCUGAAAUUCAACUGCCUCAUAUAAUUAGAUCUAAUUUGGGAUGGAGCUGUGGAGGGAGUAUUUUUGUAGGCCCUAAUAAUAUUAUUUUAGAGGGGCUUUAUUGUAUCCAUAAAUUUAAGGUCUUGUGACAUAUGAGUGUACAUCUUGAUGUUUGGAUUGAAGUGGAAUAAUAACAUGACAUGUUCUAUAAAGUUUUACUGAGCAUGUUUAUAUUUGCGUGGUGGGAUUCAAGGAAGUUAAGAUUUAAAUAGGAGUUCGUCAAGCUAAAUUAUUCGUAUAAAUAUUCUGUUUAAGAUUUUCAACGUGAGACUACUUCGAGUUACAACUUACAAUCUUUCCCUUUGUAAAGUUUAUGAUUUUUACUUUGAACUAAAGCAAUUGGUAAUGGGACUUCCAAAACUUUAGUGGACAAUGGGAGAGAAUAUGCCUAUAUAUAUAGAUGCACAGUAAUGAGAGACCCAGAAACUUUUCUUUUAAAUUUGAGAUAAACGUGAACCUCCUUAUAUGGGAUCACGACACAGUAGUGUGUAAGCAUUUACUUUUGUGGUUUACAAAGCACAACAUUGUGCUAAAGUAUAAAAUAUUCCAAAAAAAAUUAUCUAGCUGACUCGUCUCUUAUGGUUGUGUCAUGCAAAAAAUUUGUCACUACUUUUGUCAUGUAACCUUUACCACGCAGGUUGAUUAAAAACCUUGAAGAGUGUUCUAUCCACCUAUCCAAGAUGUUGGAUCUGCUGAUUUUUGGCAACUUUUACAAAAUUAAUGCAGUAUUGUUAAAAUUGUGGUGCCAAGCCUCGAACAGUUCUUGGCAGUGUUUUUGACUGGGAUGUUGAAAUUGUGGCGCCAAGUUUCAAACAAGUCCCACCAACGGUUCAGAAAUACAAGUGUCAAGGUUAGAUAUGCUUAUAAUUUUCUUAGCUUUGAUUUAUUCACUUACGAUGGGGUUUGUCUGAAAUGGAAUUAGACAUUUUAGUUGUGAUAAAUUGGGUCAGCUUAGUCCCUCCUGCGUUGUAAUAAGCUAAAGUGUAAACAAGGCCUAAGUCAUAAAUCUCGUUGUUGUGGUAUCUAGGUGCUUAACAAAAUGACUUUAGGUUGUGUAUUAUUGAAGGCUAUAGACAAGAUAAAGACGUCUCGUGGUACUACUUUGAAGUGUUCUUGCGAAUUUCUAUCUGAAACACGUUUUUUAGACUACCUUAUCUUUGUUUCUUAGCAGCCUUUUUUGAUUGACAUUCUUAGCUUCUGUUUCGAAUUGGAGGUCCUCGAAGUAUUUGGUUUUAUUUAUUCAGCCCCCCUUGAUACAAUGUUAAAUCUUCAAAUUUCCAUUUGUGUUCUGAAUCCUAGAAACAAUGGUAGUAACUUAUGUUUUAUUGUGAUGAUCAUGAUUAGUGACCAAGUUAAAUUUUUUAGGAGAGAACAAACUAGUAUUCUGUUUAUGCAUUUCGUAAAAAUAGUACUAAAUCUGAUUGUGUCAAUUGAACUUGUUUUGCCUUCUUGACGAUUAAGUAAAACUUUCAAAACUAAAGCCACAUCAAUAUAGUAUCAAAAUUCAAAAGUAUAUUGGAUAUUGGCGGUUUAUUUUAUCUUUGCUAUACAGGUUUUGAUAUAAGGCUUGAAUAUUUUAAUUAAGGAUUGACAAUUCCCUUUAAUAUUAAUACCUAUAUAAUUUUAUACAAUAUUAGGGAUACAUUCUGUAAAACAUAUUGAAAAAGGAACUGUGCAAGGCCGCUGAACAAAAGUAAUGUUUUCAGGGAUUUCACUUGGAUACAUUGUAAUUUUAUGUUAUUCACUCUCAGGCGACAGAGUCAAUUCUGAAUAAGGUUAGCCAUUCUCUAAUACUCUUUUGACUCUUUUGAGAAAUAAUGCUCAAUAAAGAUUGCUGAAGGCUUAUACUCUUUAGCGAUAUGCUUUUGUUAUAUAGCUCAUAUUACAUUACUUCUAAUCUUUUGUGAAAGGUUAUCUGGUAAUUCUAUGUUUGAGAAGUUGAUUAGACUAAAGCUAUAUCGUCAAUUAAUAUAGUCUGCUACCUACAUGUCAGUCAAAUUAUGUAAUUGUUGGUGUGCCCAAGGCAAUGUGUUCUCUUAAUUAAUAUUACUAAUAUAAUGUUAGAGAAAAAGUCAAUUUAACUACAUUUUUCUCAAUAUUACUAAGAAAAUGUAUGGGACUAACCUGUUGUGAGCUAUAAUAUAUAAUUGUACAUUGUGUCAUGAGAAAUUUUCGUGAGAAUGGCGUAAUGACUCUCUGACAUUAAAAUCAUUAUCUCUCUGGAGGAUAUGGAUGUUGUUAUUUGAUUUCAUCAAUUUUACUUUAACCGGGUUGAUGACAAAGUUGGUUGAGGGAAAUUUUAUAAUUUGGAAAAGGAGAAGUAAGGUCGCUGAAGAAGGAUAAGUUGGGAAAGAGGAAGAUCGGGAUUGGGCGGCGGCGGGGGUUGGUGGCGAUGGUAGGGUAGGUNGUAAAAUAAGGGGUAAAAAUAAUAUUUCUAAUUUAGUGGUUAUAUUCAAAUAAUUUGUGAUUGUUUCCAGUUUUUAUUUUAACAUUUGUUUCUAAUGAAGCAUAUCUCUAUCUAUCAUGCUUAUUAAGUCGACAAGUCGACAUUGGGCGCCCGGAUACCUUGGAAUCGACUAGUCGACAAGUCGUCCGACUAGUCGAAACAAGUCGUCAAGUCGUGAUAUACAUAAAUAUAUAUAUAUAAAUAUAUAUAUAUUUACUAUAUAUAUAUAUAUAUAUAGUAAAGAUUAUAAUAUAUAUAAUUUUUAAUAUAAAUAUUAUGAAAAAAAAUAAUUAAUAAAAUAAUUUUAGUUAAAAAAACAGGAUUGAUAAAAUCAAUAUCAAAAUAUUUUAAGUAAAAUAAAAUUAUAAUGGUA